UGAUCCGACCGGCGCCUAACCUUAUUUUUCGAGGCGAGAAGCUGGGGAAGGGAGACCAACAAAGGGGAAGCAAGGGCCAGCUAGGGGGACCAAGCUAAGGGAUACCAGGGGAAUACCGGGGCUACUAGGGGAACCUAGAUCCACGGAGGAUGCCGAAGCACGCUCCAACAGACGCAAGCACACAGCACUCUCAAGGUUGUUACCUACAUGUGGAAAACUGAAUAUUCCACACCACCUAGCUAGGCCAGGGAUCUUCAACCUGUGGCUCUAAAGCCACAUGUGGCUCUCCGGCCCCUCCACUGUGGCUCUUAUAAGACCAAGCUCUAGACAGGUUUUGUAGCAGCAGGGGAAAAGGGGCCCUUUGAACUGAAAAGGAUGCUGACCCCUGACUUAAGCCACAAGGUCAACACAAAACAAAUACAGUUAUUGACAGAAAAAUGGAAUGGUUUCUUUCAAGGCUACAGGUGAAGGUGAAUGGAUGCCCCUGUCACUCCAUUUCCCAGGUCAUCAUAGAACUCCCACACACAUGGAGCUCUCCUGCAGUAUGCAGUGUAAUGCCCCAGACCAUCAGUGCUCAUCUUUCCAUGGAAAACAAUUAAUCCCCUCAAAGUGAACGACUUUCCUUGGAGAACCAGGUUGGAGGGAAAUUCAUUCAGUAGAAAUUCUGUUUGGUUUGCAAGAGAUGGAUUGGAGAGUGGCCUGAGGCAGGUAUACUCAGGUAGGCCAAGUCCUGCUUCCACAGCCGUGCCAAGAUGAGCCAUACCAGACUCUUUGAGGACAGAGAUGGCAGGAGAAACAAAUGGUACUUCCCUUGUCAUCCCUUUGCUGAGGUAGCAGUGCUGUGAAGAGCAGUGUUUGGUUUGUUGGGUCACACCAUCUGUGGCAAUGGCUUUCACCAGCUGCAGGACUGGGUUUUCACUGUCCUUCAGAACAGCAUUUUGAAAUGUGGGGCUGUCACAGAAGGCACAACGUAAGCACUGAAAAAAAUGCAUCAAAUGCACAGAUUCAUCUGCAUGGAGCCAUUCGGUACAUGGAGAGAGGCAAGAAGUCCUCUUCCUUUUUUUGGGUGGAACAGCUAGGCCCCUCCAGUUCUCAACUGCAUCUUCAUCAGCCUGGAGAAUGUUUGUGGCAGCAUCAGAUCCCACAAACGGAACAAAUCCGCAUAUUUCCCUCGAUGAAGGAAAGAUGACGAGCAAUGAAGCGAUUGACUCGAACAGGCAAG
Molecule: long non-coding RNA, 1222 nt
Organism: Oreochromis niloticus (Nile tilapia)
Lineage: Eukaryota; Metazoa; Chordata; Actinopteri; Cichliformes; Cichlidae
Exons: 8
Source: RefSeq, a predicted model, not a curated record